This 360-nucleotide ribosomal RNA is filed under the name uncultured eukaryote. RNAcentral's name for it is "partial 18S ribosomal RNA". It matches the Rfam family "Eukaryotic small subunit ribosomal RNA", at positions 592 to 976 of the family's 1831-position model. The record is from RNAcentral.
CAAUAGCAUAUAUUAACGUUGUUGCAGUUGAAAAGCUCGUAGUUGAACUUUUGGUAGGAGCGACCUGGCCUUGGGCGCAUGCCCUUGUUUGCCGUGUGUCGUAUCUGGCCAUCCUUUUCCGUUUCGGCGGGAAUCUUUCACUGUGAGUAAACUGGAGUGCUCAAAACAAGACGUUUGUUUGGUACAUUAAAGCAUGGAAUAAUAAGAUAGGACCUGGUUACUAUUUUGUUGGUUUGCAUAGCUAGGUAAUGAUUAACAGGGACAGUUGGGGGUAUUCGUAUUUAAUUGUCAGAGGUGAAAUUCUUGGAUUUAUGAAAGACGAACGACUGCGAAAGCAUUUACCAAGGAUGUUUUCAUUAA